GAAGAAGAAGAACAAGAAGACGUACCUCUGUUCAUUUUCAGGACAUGGAUGGAAUAAAUGUUUCAGAGUUUAAGCCAUUCCUGAUACGACUUUCGCCAUCUCGCCCAUUUUCAAGGGUGAGGUGUUAUUUCUGUCUUCAAUAUGAAACCUUGCUCAGAGAAGAUUACCCAGUUUACCUUUUUAAAAACAAAAAGACGACAAAAAUUCGGACCUGUCUCAAAUUUUAAUCCGUUUAUAUUUGGGCAAGUGGAUAACCAGGUGUCCAAGAGCACUCCCUUUCUCGCGCUGGAUGUUCUCCAAACUUGAACCUUAGGGUCAGGUGCCAAUUUAUCAAUCCUAUAAAGCACAAUUGUUGUCGUCUAUUAUCAUCAUCAGAAUGAAAACACGAAGGAUGAGGACAAAGUCGACGAAACCAACACACACGACAAUCUCACCAACACCAGCAGCGCUCACGACUCGGAAAAGGGUGACAUUGUAUGGCUCUUUUCAUCUAUGCAGACGGUCCGUUUGUUAAGAAGGUCUCAAGGUUGUCUUCAUGCAGCUUCUUUCGUGGCUAAUUCUUCCUGUGCUUGAAGCGCAGAUUAGAGGGUGACAACAAGUACAAUAAAUCAUUUUGUUAGUCCGCCCCCCGUACGCCUGUCUGUCAACGCUCUCUGGCCCCGCCUCCUGACGUCCCCAAGUGUGGGAGGAAAGAGAGAGUCGGCUGGCAGUGGCGGUCCAGGGGGGCCUGAGGGGGUGCUGUAUGAAUCGUCUGAUAAGCCCCUGGCUCUCAAGCGUCAAGCAACACCCCGCUCCAUGGCCCCCGUUUCUCUCGCCUCUUGGGCUGGGCAAUGAGUCGCUCAAACAAAAUCCAGAUAAAAUGUUAGUGCACCUCUUUUGCAGUUCAAUGUGUUGUGAACGGCCUCGGAAAAUGGGUUAGAACCACUUCGAGAAACGGGUUAGAACCACGUCAACAAAUGGGUGCACUCACUUCGGCAAAAAGGUCCAGAAAGAGAGUUUAAGAGUCUGAAUUCGGAUAAUGUUUCAUUGAGAAUUAUCCGGUUAUUCGGAUAGGUUAACCGGAUUUUGCCCACCACUACUCGCCUCACGCCGGCCAAGUUGUUAACUCCUUGAAAGCCGCGCGGUUCUGGUCAUCAAGUCGCCGACUCUGGCCUUAUAUAUGACGUAAUGUUUUGGGACGGCAUUUCAACAACAGAAGCGUAACUUCGUUAUUCACAAAGAUCUUUCACUUCUGAUUUCUUGAACUUAAUCUUUAAAAAGGCACACAACAACAACGUGCGUAAUGUGAACUACGUAAAUUCGUGUUUGUGAUUUCUGUAUGAUGGUGUUGUUAAAAGUGUCCCCAACGUUACCUUCGAUCUGUGGCUGCUACUGAUCAAACGAUAAAAGUCUCCACGACGUCAGUAAAGAGUUAACACUCCAACAGAAAGGAACUGAUAAUAAAAUCGUCAACAGUCGAUCACAGCUGAUUGCCAAUCACUCGGCGUGCGUCCUGGCAUGGUUUAUGCGCGACUUCCUUCCCGUCCCUCUCCCUCUGUGUCGGCCGUGGGUGGUACAGGCUACUACACAGACGUAGUAUAAUACUGGUGUGUAUGUGUGUGUGCAUAGAUAUAGCAUAUUAUCUGUGUGUGCGAGGAGUGACGCGACGCGCUGUUGUUUUGAUUACCAGUUAUUGCGGUGUUCGUGUGAUAUAACAGGUGUAUGGACUAUACGUCUGACCUAAAGAAUUCAUCACUUUUUCAAACGAAGGAAAGGAUAUCAAGGGAGACACAACUUUUGAGGCACCUCCUGCAGAGUCCUCGCAAGCUAGCAAGCAAGCAAGCAAGCAAGCAAGCAAGCAAGCAAGCAGGCAGGAAACAAGUAUUAUAACCUAAUACAGUACGUUUGGUCUCCUCUAUAGAUCCUGCUACUGUUUAUUCGCCCAUAUGGAUACGCCACCCACGGAUAGCUCAUCUUCCCCCCAGUUCCCUAACGUCAGAGACAGAGACGGGUGAUUGGCGCUCAUAUGACCUUAUGCAGUUGCGAGCGCCGUAAAACCUCUACUAUAAAAAAGACAGGUGUUACCUGCAGGCGGUCUGAAAAGGUUUGGGACUUGGCGUGUCCUCUGCCGUCGAUCUGGCGUCAGCACUUGCCAUGCACGACCAUCUCUCUCACCUGAUGGUCCCCCCGUCCCCUCCCCAGUCACGUGACUACAUGGCGGCUAGCUUCAUGGGCCACCCUAAGCAGCAGUCGGAACAUCUACAACAGCAUCAGCAGCAGCAGCA
RNAcentral lists this long non-coding RNA (2264 nucleotides) under Aplysia californica (California sea hare). Its description in RNAcentral is "uncharacterized LOC101852568". The record is from RNAcentral. Lineage: Eukaryota; Metazoa; Mollusca; Gastropoda; Aplysiida; Aplysiidae.